AAUGAUGGCCAGGCUGUCUCCACCCGAGACUCAGUGAAAUUGAACUCGCUGUGAAGAUGCAGUGUACCCGCGGCAAGACGGAAAGACCCCGUGAACCUUUACUAUAGCUUGACACUGAACAUUGAGCCUUGAUGUGUAGGAUAGGUGGGAGGCUUUGAAGUGUGGACGCCAGUCUGCAUGGAGCCGACCUUGAAAUACCACCCUUUAAUGUUUGAUGUUCUAACGUUGACCCGUGAUCCGGGUUGCGGACAGUGUCUGGUGGGUAGUUUGACUGGGGCGGUCUCCUCCUAAAGAGUAACGGAGGAGCACGAAGGUUGGCUAAUCCUGGUCGGACAUCAGGAGGUUAGUGCAAUGGCAUAAGCCAGCUUGACUGCGAGCGUGACGGCGCGAGCAGGUGCGAAAGCAGGUCAUAGUGAUCCGGUGGUUCUGAAUGGAAGGGCCAUCGCUCAACGGAUAAAAGGUACUCCGGGGAUAACAGGCUGAUACCGCCCAAGAGUUCAUAUCGACGGCGGUGUUUGGCACCUCGAUGUCGGCUCAUCACAUCCUGGGGCUGAAGUAGGUCCCAAGGGUAUGGCUGUUCGCCAUUUAAAGUGGUACGCGAGCUGGGUUUAGAACGUCGUGAGACAGUUCGGUCCCUAUCUGCCGUGGGCGCUGGAGAACUGAGGGGGGCUGCUCCUAGUACGAGAGGACCGGAGUGGACGCAUCACUGGUGUUCGGGUUGUCAUGCCAAUGGCACUGCCCGGUAGCUAAAUGCGGAAGAGAUAAGUGCUGAAAGCAUCUAAGCACGAAACUUGCCCCGAGAUGAGUUCUCCCUGACUCCUUGAGAGUCCUGAAGGAACGUUGAAGACGACGACGUUGAUAGGCCGGGUGUGUAAGCGCAGCGAUGCGUUGAGCUAACCGGUACUAAUGAACCGUGAGGCUUAACCUU
Molecule: ribosomal RNA, 928 nt
Filed under: Escherichia coli
Lineage: Bacteria; Pseudomonadati; Pseudomonadota; Gammaproteobacteria; Enterobacterales; Enterobacteriaceae
Description: partial 23S ribosomal RNA
Rfam family: Bacterial large subunit ribosomal RNA
Source: RNAcentral